AAGAGGAACGAAACCAUUGUGAGGGUGUGAGAAAGGGGAACUGGGGAGAGUCUUGUGGCAAGGGAGGGGUGGCGACUCCUGAGCACUGGGGGAGAGACGGAAGCUGGGAGGGAGGGAAGUUUAAUCUUAAUAUUCAUCAGAGAUGGGCCCCAUGGCGUUUCAGCCUAAGAUAUAUUAGAACAGUUGUGUGAUCUCCUGCACAUCACUGAACAAUCAACUGUACCUCCCUCGGGAAGGGGAGCCAGCUCAGCCCCUAGCCCAGCAGCCCAGCAGCCCACCAGCCAGAGGCACUGACAGAUGGACACCUGAGCGCCUGGCACUAUCUGUGAGCACCAGGGUGGACUUGUCUCUUGAGUCGGGUGGUCCACAGGUCAACCUGAUGGAUGCAUCCUG
This 393-nucleotide long non-coding RNA is filed under the name Capra hircus (goat). RNAcentral describes it as "lncRNA (ENSCHIG00010022649.1)". The record is from RNAcentral. Lineage: Eukaryota; Metazoa; Chordata; Mammalia; Artiodactyla; Bovidae.